GACGAACGCUGGCGGCGUGCUUAACACAUGCAAGUCGAACGGAAAGGCCCUGCUUUUGUGGGGUUCUCGAGUGGCGAACGGGUGAGUAACACGUGAGUAACCUGCCCUUGACUUUGGGAUAACUUCAGGAAACUGGGGCUAAUACCGGAUAGGAUCUCCUGCUGCAUGGUGGGGGUUGGAAAGUUUCGGCGGUUGGGGAUGGACUCGCGGCUUAUCAGCUUGUUGGUGGGGUAGUGGCUUACCAAGGCUUUGACGGGUAGCCGGCCUGAGAGGGUGACCGGCCACAUUGGGACUGAGAUACGGACCAGAAUCCUACGGGAGGCAGCAGUGGGGAAUAUUGCACAAUGGGCGGAAGCCUGAUGCAGCAACGCCGCGUGCGGGAUGACGGCCUUCGGGUUGUAAACCGCUUUCGCCUGUGACGAAGCGUGAGUGACGGUAAUGGGUAAAGAAGCAACGGCUAACUACGUG
RNAcentral lists this ribosomal RNA (468 nucleotides) under uncultured bacterium. Its description in RNAcentral is "partial 16S ribosomal RNA". It matches the Rfam family "Bacterial small subunit ribosomal RNA", at positions 28 to 507 of the family's 1533-position model. The record is from RNAcentral.